AAUGCAUUAGAAUUACUCCAAAAAGCAUUAUUAUGGAUAAAAACAUUAUAAAUCUACAUCUACAUCUACACUACUAUUAAAAGAGCAAACAUUACUUAUCCUAAACCCACGCGAAUUAGUGUACACAGGACAAUCAGUACCCUACGAUCUAUUCCACUUAACGAUAUCUAAGGGUCAGUUUCGCCUCCAUGGUCUGCCAACCAAUUGGAUGGCCCAGAUUCGAUGUUCUGCCACCGUACGUCCUGCCCCGCGCACGUCCGUCUUCAACCCAACCGCCCCUCGCAUCCCUUCAUUCUUGCAGGCGCAUGCGGGAGUUGUUGCCGCCGCCGAGCACGUGGGCUCCGCCGCCCUACCGCCAGACGUGGACGCACGCGGCCGUCGCCGUCGCCGCCGCCGGGCACGUGGCCUCCGUCGCCCCGCCAUCUGGCGUGGAAGCACGCAGCCGUGGUUGUCGCCGCCGCCGUCCGAUGUGGACUCUGGCCGUCGCCGCCACCGGGCACGUGGCCUCCGCCGCCCAACCUGGACACACGUGGUCGUGGCCGUUGCCGCCGCGGCGUGCCUAGCCUCCGCCGGCCUGCUGCCCGGCGUGGACGCACGCGGCCGUGGCCUCCGUCGCCCAGCCGCCGGGGACGUGUACGCACGCGGGCGUGGCCGCUGUCAGGGACAUUGGCGCACACGGUAGAGAAAAGCUCCACCGCAACCUCUGUCGUAAGAAUAAGAUUAUUUCUCCUAUCUCUAAUCUACUUGCAAUCUGACAUCCAUUGCCAAUUUGGCUUUCUGGAAAUUCGGUGGCACAUGAAUUCUAAUUCUAAUUUGAACAUGGAGCACUAUUUUUUUUUCUUGUGAUAACCACCAAGCAUGAACAUGCAGUGCAUGUAUAGCUCUUGCCGAGUGAAAUUUUUAUAUCAUAUUCCGUUGUCAAUUUACCCUUUGUUUGAGGACAAUAGGCUGUUCUCACAUUAGCAUACAUCUAAACUUCUAGAUUCAUUUUUAAUACAUGGUCGUUUGAAGCACCCAUCUUUGUACUGUUUUGUGUGUGUAUGUAUGGUUUUUUUUCCUUCUUCUGAAAGAAUCAUAUAUGCUUCGAGUUAGACUGAUGGGCAAUGCUAGAAAUCACUUGGAAGUUACAGGUGUGUUGGUGCAGAUUGCUUAAAAAAACUUUCAUGUAUCACUUUAUUGUAACUCUGACGUUUAAUUUGUGUUCAAUUAUCUGUAGUACAACCUAACUAUUUGAUCUUCGGGAUGCUAAUUUGUGCACACACAGAAUAAAAACCGGUAGCGAUGACAAUGUUUCCUGUCAAGAUCAAUACCUGCUACAUAUGCAUUGUUUCCUGUGAUGAUCAAUUCCUGCUACACCUACACUAGAUCCUGUGAUGCAUUGCGAGGCCUGGAACGACUUUAAUUUUGAAUAUAUUUUUAGUUUCGGAGCUGUUUAGUCCAGCAAUGAAACACAGGUCAUUAUCCAGUCUGCUCGCACGAUUGGCACACACAGCCACCGCCGACCAUCGUUAUCCGGCCAUAAUCCCGACGUCCUCCUCGCAUCACCCUGCUGUGUGCCCCUGGCCGAUUGCCUCGAUACGCCAUCCAAGCGCGCGUGGCCACAAAAGCUCUUCAUCAUGGUAAGGCGCAGGUACACGACGACAAGCUGCAGAACAACGAGCAGCUCGACAGUGGAGUACCGACGCGAUACUUGUCAUGGGGAAUCGGGAAGAGGAGUAUGCUCAUAUGGUCAAGGCUGGUAUCAUCGACCCUGUAAAAGUGAUCCAAAAUGCACUUCAAGGUGCAGAAUGGUACAACUUCAGUUCUCUAACCAUGUACUUUAUGUAUGGCCAUGACAGAAGUAAUCAGACUUGUUUGACAAUUUGUGUUUCUGUACAAUGUUUAUCCAUUGAUCACAACCAUAGAGGUUGCAGAUGAACGACGGGUUUUGAGGACAGUGUGGCAUGAUGCUUGCGUGAAUUGUAUUAGGGUGCGCGCAUUCUGUCCAACGGGAUUUGACUGUAAAUCUCUGUUCAUUACUUCAGGUGUGCAUUGAGCAUACAUGAUUUGCCUGAUGAUAACAAUUGAUUGGCAGGUUUGGAUUAUAAUUUUUUUUUCGUGGGUCAGGUUUGGAUUAUAUCUAACUAGAAGGAUAUCGACACUGCUCCAUUGGCAAGCUUUGAUAUUUUUAUUUUCUAGCUAGAAAAAGAUAACAACACGAGUGCUCAAGGUGAUAAAUAUGUUCACCUACAUUGCAACGGGCCAUAAAUAUUUUGUGUACCCACUAAUUUUUUGUUGUUGAUUCUGUUUAAGUAUAUUCUUGCUAAUUAGGAUCAAAA
This is a long non-coding RNA of Aegilops tauschii subsp. strangulata, 2318 nucleotides long. RefSeq lists it as uncharacterized. NCBI's taxonomy places the organism in Eukaryota, Viridiplantae, Streptophyta, Magnoliopsida, Poales, Poaceae. The record is from RefSeq and is a predicted model, not a curated record.